UCUUUUAUUUUUUUAUUUUUAUUUUAAAGAUAUGCAUGUGUCACUAUCUAUGAAAUACUUUAAGUUUAAUUGCAAGUCUUUUUUUUGGCUGUAACACAAGACUUUUGAGAACUUAGACCAAAGUCUCAUGAUGUUAUUGUUGUGGUCCUUUUCAACAACCUUGUUUGUCUCAAUAACUAAUGAUGUUAGGACCAUGUUGGUAGGACAAUUGGAACUUGAGCAUAGUUAUUGGGCAUUUCUACCACAACUUAGGAGGUAUAAGACUUUUGGUUUCCCCAUUGGGCAAUAAAAAAAAAACUUGCUACAAGACUCUUAUAUUAGAACACCACGAGAACCA
This 337-nucleotide long non-coding RNA is filed under the name Physcomitrium patens. Its description in RNAcentral is "long non-coding RNA (PPAT_LNC003819)". The record is from RNAcentral. Lineage: Eukaryota; Viridiplantae; Streptophyta; Bryopsida; Funariales; Funariaceae.